RNAcentral lists this ribosomal RNA (460 nucleotides) under uncultured bacterium. Its description in RNAcentral is "partial 16S ribosomal RNA". It matches the Rfam family "Bacterial small subunit ribosomal RNA", at positions 338 to 795 of the family's 1533-position model. The record is from RNAcentral.
CCUACGGGGGGCAGCAGUGAGGAAUAUUGGUCAAUGUACGAGAGUCUGAACCAGCCAAGUAGCGUGAAGGAUGACUGCCCUAUGGGUUGUAAACUUCUUUUAUAUGGGAAUAAAAUGUUCCACGUGUGGGAUUUUGUAUGUACCAUAUGAAUAAGGAUCGGCUAACUCCGUGCCAGCAGCCGCGGUAAUACGGAGGAUCCGAGCGUUAUCCGGAUUUAUUGGGUUUAAAGGGAGCGUAGGUGGAUUGUUAAGUCAGUUGUGAAAGUUUGCGGCUCAACCGUAAAAUUGCAGUUGAAACUGGCAGUCUUGAGUACAGUAGAGGUGGGCGGAAUUCGUGGUGUAGCGGUGAAAUGCUUAGAUAUCACGAAGAACUCCGAUUGCGAAGGCAGUUCACUGGACUGCAACUGACACUGAGGCUCGAAAGUGUGGGUAUCAAACAGGAUUAGAUACCCUAGUAGUC